UAUUUGUAUUAAAGGAGUGAAGGAUUAGCACUCCCCUUGAUAAGGAUGGAAGAGGUCCCAGUGGCCUGUACAACACACAUAUGGGCAUUGCCACUUACUUCGUGGCAUCUAGCCAGGUUUUUAG
Molecule: small nuclear RNA, 124 nt
Organism: Elgaria multicarinata webbii
Lineage: Eukaryota; Metazoa; Chordata; Lepidosauria; Squamata; Anguidae
Source: RefSeq, a predicted model, not a curated record